Small nucleolar RNA from Humulus lupulus (European hop), 107 nucleotides. NCBI's taxonomy places the organism in Eukaryota, Viridiplantae, Streptophyta, Magnoliopsida, Rosales, Cannabaceae. The record is from RefSeq and is a predicted model, not a curated record.
AUCUGAUGAUGAGGGAAACUGGCACACAACCGCUUGAACCUCUCCCAAUACUCAUACAAUGACUCCCCUAAAUAUUUCCUUAUACCAUAGAUCUCUUUUCUGAUGCU